AUUGAACGCUGGCGGCAUGCCUUACACAUGCAAGUCGAACGGCAGCAUGGAGAGCUUGCUCUCUGAUGGCGAGUGGCGAACGGGUGAGUAAAGCAUCGGAACGUACCGUGUAGUGGGGGAUAACGUAGCGAAAGUUAAGCUAAUACCGCAUACGCCCUGAGGUGGAAAUCAGGGGAUCGUAAGACCUUGCGCUCUACUAGCGGCCGAUGUCAGAUUAGCGAGUUGGUAGCGUAAAGGCCAACCAAGGCGACGAUCUGUAGCGGGUCUGAGAGGAUGAUCCGCCACACUGGGACUGAGACACGGCCCAGACUCCUACGGGAGGCAGCAGUGGGGAAUUUUGGACAAUGGGGGCAACCCUGAUCCAGCCAUGCCGCGUGAGUGAAGAAGGCCUUCGGGUUGUAAAGCUCUUUCGGCCGGGAAGAAAUCGCACAGGCUAAUACCCUGUGUGGAUGACGGUACCGGCAUAAGAAGCACCGGCUAACUACGUGCCAGCCGCCGCCGUAA
RNAcentral lists this ribosomal RNA (504 nucleotides) under uncultured bacterium. Its description in RNAcentral is "partial 16S ribosomal RNA". It matches the Rfam family "Bacterial small subunit ribosomal RNA", at positions 30 to 523 of the family's 1533-position model. The record is from RNAcentral.